AGUGGCGGACGGGUGAGUAACGCGUGGGUAACCUGCCUUAUACAGGGGGAUAACAGUCAGAAAUGACUGCUAAUACCGCAUAAGCGCACAGAGCUGCAUGGCUCGGUGUGAAAAACUCCGGUGGUAUAAGAUGGACCCGCGUUGGAUUAGCUAGUUGGUGAGGUAACAGCCCACCAAGGCGACGAUCCAUAGCCGGCCUGAGAGGGUGAACGGCCACAUUGGGACUGAGACACGGCCCAGACUCCUACGGGAGGCAGCAGUGGGGAAUAUUGCACAAUGGGGGAAACCCUGAUGCAGCGACGCCGCGUGAAGGAAGAAGUAUCUCGGUAUGUAAACUUCUAUCAGCAGGGAAGAAAAUGACGGUACCUGACUAAGAAGCCCCGGCUAACUACGUGCCAGCAGCCGCGGUAAUACGUAGGGGGCAAGCGUUAUCCGGAUUUACUGGGUGUAAAGGGAGCGUAGACGGAUGGACAAGUCUGAUGUGAAAGGCUGGGGCUCAACCCCGGGACUGCAUUGGAAACUGCCCGUCUUGAGUGCCGGAGAGGUAAGCGGAAUUCCUAGUGUAGCGGUGAAAUGCGUAGAUAUUAGGAGGAACAC
Molecule: ribosomal RNA, 597 nt
Filed under: uncultured Lachnospiraceae bacterium
Lineage: Bacteria; Bacillati; Bacillota; Clostridia; Lachnospirales; Lachnospiraceae
Description: bacterial SSU rRNA
Rfam family: Bacterial small subunit ribosomal RNA
Source: RNAcentral